UCCGAUCUCCGGCCUGCCUCUAUGUUCUACAGCAGCUACACACACACAGUGGUAUCUGGAGCAGCUCUGUGGACUCAAAGGUUUUCUCCCUGAGAGGCGUAACACAGGCCAGCUGAUUCAUCAGAAUCAGGAAACUGGACAUCUCUGUGGUCCCUGAGCAUCCCAGGAGGCCGAUCGUACAGAGACCUCUGGGCCCUCUCCCCAGUCUCCCUCCACAUCCCUGGAAUAGCCCAUCACGGACCCUUCACCCUUGGCAGGUGGACACCAUUGAAACUGCCAGGGCAGACGUUUUUGUCUCACGGGAUGGACAUGGUAGAGGACGCAGAUACUUUGGAGGAGCGAGAGGACAUCAUUAUGAAGUAUGAGAAGGUACAGGGACACCGAGCUGGGCUGCCAGAGGACAUGGGGCCUGAGCCUGUUGGAAUCUACAACAACAUUGAUCACUUUGGGAUUCUGCAUGAGACGAAGCUGCCCCUGUCAGCGCCCGGGAGGUGAAGCAAAUGAGGCGGGAGAUGAGACGCGUGAGCAAGUGGAUGAAAAUGCUGGGACAAUGGGAGACAUAUAAGAACAGUAAAAAGCUGAUGAAGCGAGUGUAUAAGGGCAUUCCCAUGAACGUCCGGACGCAGGUGUGGUCAGUCCUCCUGAACAUUCAGGAAAUCAAGGCGAAAAACCCCAGAAAAUUCCAGGAAGGUCUAUGCGCACAGGGUUCCUCAUUCGGCUGGCUUCUCCAGAUGUUGAAUGACCAGCCAAACCCGAGCAAGGGUCCUCAGCAGCCAGGCCUGUGCAGGCUUCACAUGGCAGGAAGACCCUCUGCAAGGGGACAGGCAGACCCUUCCUGGCCCACCAGCCCGGUUCCAGCGGCACAUUUGGUCAGCUUCCCUGCCACGGGCACCUGGUCCUUCGACACCCUGUCCUGGUGGGGCUGUCCGGGAAGACACCUACCCUGUGGGCACUCAGGGUGUGCCCAGCCCGGCCCUGGCUCAGGGAGGACCUCAGGGUUCCUGGAGAUUCCUGGAGUGGAACUCGAUGCCCCGGCUCCCGACGGACGUGGAUGUAGGGGGCCCUUGGUUCCCCCACUAUUUCAAACAGAGCUGCUGGGUCCGUGGCUCUUCUGAAUGUGUGCAGCUCAAAAGACAUUCACAGAUGGAACACACAGAUCACAAAGCCAACCAUGCCCAGCCCCUCGCAGCACCCCAAGUCCCGCUACCAGAGUUCUGAAUUCUGAUGACACCAUGAGCCUGCCUUUGUACUUCACACUCAUGGAAGGAUAACCACCUCCAUGUUUUAAAUAAAUGUUUCCUGUUGAAAUGG
Molecule: non-coding RNA, 1311 nt
Organism: Macaca mulatta (Rhesus monkey)
Lineage: Eukaryota; Metazoa; Chordata; Mammalia; Primates; Cercopithecidae
Source: RefSeq, a predicted model, not a curated record